UAAUACGGAGGGUCCGAGCGUUAUCCGGAAUCAUUGGGUUUAAAGGGUCCGCAGGCGGUCGAUUAAGUCAGAGGUGAAAUCCCAUAGCUCAACUAUGGAACUGCCUUUGAUACUGGUUGACUUGAGUCAUAUGGAAGUAGAUAGAAUGUGUAGUGUAGCGGUGAAAUGCAUAGAUAUUACACAGAAUACCGAUUGCGAAGGCAGUCUACUACGUAUGUACUGACGCUGAGGGACGAAAGCGUGGGGAGCGAACAGGAUUAGAUACCCUGGUAGUCCACGCCGUAAACGAUGGAUACUAGUUGUUGGGAUUUAUCUCAGUGUCUAAGCGAAAGUGAUAAGUAUCCCACCUGGGGAGUACGGUCGCAAGACUG
Molecule: ribosomal RNA, 371 nt
Filed under: uncultured Bacteroidota bacterium
Lineage: Bacteria; Pseudomonadati; Bacteroidota
Description: bacterial SSU rRNA
Rfam family: Bacterial small subunit ribosomal RNA
Source: RNAcentral